AGCACGGGAGCUUGCUCCUGGUGGCGAGUGGCGAACGGGUGAGUAAUGCAUCGGAACGUGCCCUGAAGUGGGGGAUAACGUAGCGAAAGUUACGCUAAGUACCGCAUAUUCUGUGAGCAGGAAAGCAGGGGAUCUUCGGACCUUGCGCUUUUGGAGCGCCGAUGUCGGAUUAGCUAGUUGGUGGGGUAAAGGCUCACCAAGGCAACGAUCCGUAGCGGGUCUGAGAGGAUGAUCCGCCACACUGGAACUGAGACACGGUCCAGACUCCUACGGGAGGCAGCAGUGGGGAAUUUUGGACAAUGGGCGCAAGCCUGAUCCAGCCAUGCCGCGUGAGUGAAGAAGGCUUUCGGGUUGUAAAGCUCUUUCGGUUGGGAAGAAAUUGCUUGGGUUAAUACCCUGUGUGGAUGACGGUACCGGAAUAAGAAGCACCGGCUAACUACGUG
This 443-nucleotide ribosomal RNA is filed under the name uncultured bacterium. RNAcentral's name for it is "bacterial SSU rRNA". It matches the Rfam family "Bacterial small subunit ribosomal RNA", at positions 68 to 507 of the family's 1533-position model. The record is from RNAcentral.